GGGGGGGGGGGGGGGGGGGGGGGGGGGGGGGGGGGCGGGGGGGUGGGGGGGGGGGGCGCGUGGGGUCAGCGGCGGGCGGGUGAGUGACGCCUAGGAAUCUGCCGGGUAGUGGGGGAUAACGUCCGGAGACGGGCGCUAAUACCGCGUACGUCCUGGGGGAGAAAGUGGGGGGGCUUCGGACCUCACGCUAUCGGAUGAGCCUAGGUCGGAUUAGCUAGUUGGUGGGGUAAAGGCCUACCAAGGCGACGCUCCGUAACUGGUCUGAGAGGAUGAUCAGUCACACUGGAACUGAGACACGGUCCAGACUCCUACGGGAGGCAGCAGUGGGGAAUAUUGGACAAUGGGCGAAAGCCUGAUCCAGCCAUGCCGCGUGUGUGAAGAAGGUCUUCGGAUUGUAAAGCACUUUAAGUUGGGAGGAAGGGCAGUAAGUUAAUACCUUGCUGUUUUGACGUUACCAACAGAAUAAGCACCGGCUAACUUCGUG
Molecule: ribosomal RNA, 484 nt
Filed under: uncultured bacterium
Lineage: Bacteria
Description: partial 16S ribosomal RNA
Rfam family: Bacterial small subunit ribosomal RNA
Source: RNAcentral